Triticum aestivum (bread wheat) is the source of this 126-nucleotide non-coding RNA. NCBI's taxonomy places the organism in Eukaryota, Viridiplantae, Streptophyta, Magnoliopsida, Poales, Poaceae. The record is from Rfam.
AUACUACUCCCUCCGUCCGAAAAAGCUUGUCCCUUAAAAGGAUGUAUCUAGCAUCAAGUUAGUGCUGGAUACAUCCAUUUGAAAGACAAGCUUGGGACAAACUUUUCCGGACCGAGGGAGUACAUG